UCUGUAACAAACUCCACGUGGCCCCACCACUCUCGGCAAGUCGUGACAACGGACACCACUCCACUCUCUGUAACAAACUCCACGUGGCCCCGAAUGGCCCACUACCAGGCAGUUACAGACGUCGCUGUUAUUCGGUUAUGCUCUCCCAUCUAUAAAAGGAACCCCCCAGAUACGUUCUCCUCUAAGCUCUAAACACUAUCUCUAAACUUUGCUAAAAUCCCAUUUGAGUACUCCAUUUCUGUUGAAGUUAAGUACUGACUUAAGCAUCGGAGGGUCUUGUCGGAGCACCCCCAACUCCAGUUUAGACUUUUCUUGCAGGUCCCGACGGUGGCCGCGAUCCUCUUGACUCCAGCUUCUCC
This 359-nucleotide long non-coding RNA is filed under the name Elaeis guineensis (African oil palm). RNAcentral describes it as "long non-coding RNA (EGUI_LNC081621)". The record is from RNAcentral. Lineage: Eukaryota; Viridiplantae; Streptophyta; Magnoliopsida; Arecales; Arecaceae.